GACGAACGCUGGCGGCGUGCCUAAUACAUGCAAGUCGAGCGGACUGAUUAAGAGCUUGCUCUUAUGACGUUAGCGGCGGACGGGUGAGUAACACGUGGGCAACCUGCCCUGUAGAUCGGGAUAACACCGAGAAAUCGGUGCUAAUACCGGGUAAUAUCUGAGAUCACAUGAUCUUAGGUUAAAAGAUGGCUCCGGCUAUCACUACAGGAUGGGCCCGCGGCGCAUUAGCUAGUUGGUAAGGUAACGGCUUACCAAGGCGACGAUGCGUAGCCGACCUGAGAGGGUGAUCGGCCACACUGGGACUGAGACACGGCCCAGACUCCUACGGGAGGCAGCAGUAGGGAAUCUUCCGCAAUGGACGAAAGUCUGACGGAGCAACGCCGCGUGAGUGAUGAAGGGUUUCGGCUCGUAAAGCUCUGUUGUUAGGGAAGAAACAGUACCGAACGAACUAGGUCGGUACCUUGACGGUACCUAACCAGAAAGCCACGGCUAACUACGUG
This 500-nucleotide ribosomal RNA is filed under the name uncultured bacterium. RNAcentral's name for it is "partial 16S ribosomal RNA". It matches the Rfam family "Bacterial small subunit ribosomal RNA", at positions 28 to 507 of the family's 1533-position model. The record is from RNAcentral.